CUGACACCAAUCAUGAAAACAAUAAGGAAAUACAGUAAAUUUAGCCUUAAACCACCAAAACGAGAGAAGUUUAAUGGCCUCCAACAUUUGAUAAUGAGAACGUUCUUGAUCGCGAAAAAUCCUGUCAUUCCUUUCUUUCCAUAUCUCCCAUACAGUUGCAAACCAAAUCAAAUGCAUAAGAGAGCAUCUUAAUUUUCCGUAACCUGAAGAAGUGCCAAACUGAUAAAAAUGAUCCACAAUGUUACCCGGAUCCGCAGAAUAAACACCAAGCCAAUUCCGAAUAAGCUGCCAAAUAUGACCAAAAAGAGUACAAGAUAAAAACAAAUGAGUCUCGGACUCCU
RNAcentral lists this long non-coding RNA (341 nucleotides) under Medicago truncatula (barrel medic). Its description in RNAcentral is "long non-coding RNA (MTRU_LNC003868)". Lineage: Eukaryota; Viridiplantae; Streptophyta; Magnoliopsida; Fabales; Fabaceae. The record is from RNAcentral.